This 460-nucleotide ribosomal RNA is filed under the name uncultured bacterium. RNAcentral's name for it is "partial 16S ribosomal RNA". It matches the Rfam family "Bacterial small subunit ribosomal RNA", at positions 338 to 795 of the family's 1533-position model. The record is from RNAcentral.
CCUACGGGUGGCAGCAGUGAGGAAUAUUGGUCAAUGGGCGUGAGCCUGAACCAGCCAAGUAGCGUGAAGGAUGACUGCCCUACGGGUUGUAAACUGCUUUUAUAAAGGAAUAAAGUGAGGCACGUGUGCCUUUUUGUAGGUACUUCAUGAAUAAGGAUCGGCUAAUUCCGUGCCAGCAGCCGCGGUAAUACGGAGGAUCCGAGCGUUAUCCGGAUUUAUUGGGUUUAAAGGGAGCGUAGAUGGGUUGUUAAGUCAGUUGUGAAAGUUUGCGGCUCAACCGUAAAAUUGCAAUUGAUACUGGCAGGCUUGAGUACAGUUGAGGUAGGCGGAAUUCGUGGUGUAGCGGUGAAAUGCUUAGAUAUCACGAAGAACUCCGAUUGCGAAGGCAGCUUACUAAACUGCCACUGACAUUGAUGCUCGAAGGUGCGGGUAUCAAACAGGAUUAGAUACCCUAGUAGUC